ACGCUGGCCGAACGCAGGCUUUGGAGUGUGGGUAACCCGGCAGGACGCCGGGUUAGCCGCGCUGGGCCAUGGAUGGCCCAUCGCGGCGGCCCACGCUCCAAAGCCUGCGUUCGGGCACACC
Molecule: non-coding RNA, 121 nt
Organism: Pseudomonas sp. 1 R 17
Lineage: Bacteria; Pseudomonadati; Pseudomonadota; Gammaproteobacteria; Pseudomonadales; Pseudomonadaceae
Source: Rfam